UAGGGAAUCUUCCGCAAUGGGCGAAAGCUUGACGGAGCAACGCCGCGUGAGUGAUGAAGGUCUUCGGAUCGUAAAACUCUGUUAUUAGGGAAGAACAAAUGUGUAAGUAACUAUGCACGUCUUGACGGUACCUAAUCAGAAAGCCACGGCUAACUACGUGCCAGCAGCCGCGGUAAUACGUAGGUGGCAAGCGUUAUCCGGAAUUAUUGGGCGUAAAGCGCGCGUAGGCGGUUUUUUAAGUCUGAUGUGAAAGCCCACGGCUCAACCGUGGAGGGUCAUUGGAAACUGGAAAACUUGAGUGCAGAAGAGGAAAGUGGAAUUCCAUGUGUAGCAGUGAAAUGCGCAGAGAUAUGGAGGAACACAAGUGGCGAAGGCGACUUUCUGGUCUGUAACUGACGCUGAUGUGCGAAAGCGUGGGGAUCAAACAGG
RNAcentral lists this ribosomal RNA (429 nucleotides) under Actinomycetes bacterium. RNAcentral's name for it is "Actinobacteria bacterium partial 16S ribosomal RNA". It matches the Rfam family "Bacterial small subunit ribosomal RNA", at positions 355 to 776 of the family's 1533-position model. The record is from RNAcentral. Lineage: Bacteria; Bacillati; Actinomycetota; Actinomycetes.